This is a long non-coding RNA of Cimex lectularius (bed bug), 420 nucleotides long. RefSeq lists it as uncharacterized. Lineage: Eukaryota; Metazoa; Arthropoda; Insecta; Hemiptera; Cimicidae. The transcript is spliced from 3 exons. The record is from RefSeq and is a predicted model, not a curated record.
UUUAUAUUUUCAAACAUAUAAAUAAUUACGCCCAAUAACAAGCCACUUAAAAUGGCACUAAAUUCAUAUGCGUUCAACUCCAAACGUGUUUUGGAGUGCGUAAAUUGCCUAAUGCUCUAGGAAAAUACAAGAUUACCUUAUGGGGCCCAGAACAUGAAGGAAUAGAAGAAAAUGAACAGUACGACCAACUAACCUAAAAAAGUGCAUCCUCAUGGAGCCAGAAGCCCAACUAGGGCCACGGGAAUGUGUGCUUAAGUUGAAACUGGCAAAAUGCUAUAGAAAGAAAAAUUCAAGCACUGGACAAAAGCACCAGGUCCUUGAAUUGAGCAUUGGACUUAAAUAUCAGCACAUGAACUUUGCCCCUGUUGGCCGGCUCGCCGUUCCCGAAUUUUGACCCGAUGCUGUUUCUUUUUCUGAGAG